GUUGCUGAAAAUGUGACUGGCUCAAGCUGGUGCCAGUGGAAGAAACAUCUUCCCUCAAUGGGAAACACUGGUUAGCUGGCAUUGAGCAAAAUAAAUAAAAAAGGAACAUGCAAGGAACCCUCCUGAUACCCCAAAUUCAACCAGGUCUAUCGGGAAGAAGCGGAGCCUACAGCAGCCUACACAUGGUGUAACUCAAGUGCCUGCACCCAGACCAGGCUGUCCAAGUUGCUCAGGAGAGCAGCCCCAGCCUGCCCAGCUGGCCCCAACCUGCUCAGUGGUGGCACCCAGGACGGCAGGACACUGGCCCAGCCACUGAAGAUCUCUUGCCAGGAUCUCCAGCAGCAGAGAUACAUAUCUAAAACUGGAAGACGAGACCUGUAAGUUUAAUAAGCCCUGCAUAAUGGAUGUAAAACUAGGUCAGAAAAGUUAUGAUCCGUAUGUUUCAGCGGAGAAGAUACAGCAGCAGGUCAGCAAGUACCCGCUGAUGGAAGAGAUUGGCUUUUUGGCUCUUCACACAAUAAACUGUGUACAGUUUGUGUA
Long non-coding RNA from Vidua chalybeata, 540 nucleotides. RefSeq lists it as uncharacterized. The record is from RefSeq and is a predicted model, not a curated record. NCBI's taxonomy places the organism in Eukaryota, Metazoa, Chordata, Aves, Passeriformes, Viduidae. The transcript is spliced from 3 exons.